Molecule: ribosomal RNA, 409 nt
Filed under: Prionospio sp. I TMG-2019
Lineage: Eukaryota; Metazoa; Annelida; Polychaeta; Spionida; Spionidae
Description: partial large subunit ribosomal RNA
Rfam family: Bacterial large subunit ribosomal RNA
Source: RNAcentral
CUUGCCUUUUAAUUGGAGGCUAGUAUGAACGGACAAACGAAAAUGUAUUUGUCUCAUUUAUAUUACUAAAAAUUAUCCUUCAUGUGAAGAGACAUGAAUUUUAUAAAAAGACGAAAAGACCCUAUGGAGCUUUACUUUCCUUUAUACUCAAAGAAAAUAUAAAAAACCUUUAAUAUAAAAAAAGUUUAGUUGGGGCGACUAAGGAGUAAAACAAAGCCUCCUUCUUUUAAAGAAAAUAAUUCAACUAAAAAUCCACCUAAGUGAAUAAAAAACCAGCUACCCUAGGGAUAACAGGCUAAUCCUCCUCGAGAGUUCGCAUUGACAGGAGGGAUUGGCACCUCGAUGUUGGCUUAAGGUUCCUUUAAAGUGCAGCAGCUUUAAUAGUGGGUUUGUUCAACCCUUAAAACCU